CUACGCGGCUUGGCGCUGGCCGAGGCGGCGGCCGGCAGCAGGAGAUGGUGAGGCUGAGCGUGCAGCAGCGCAGGAGGCACCAGCAGUUUGCGCGGCACUGGCUGCGGCGAAGAGGCGGAGGCCGAGGAGCCUAUCAAAGGUGCGAAUCUGAAGCCGGGGAGGCGGCAUUUCCAAGCGGACCGGCUUUGGAGGUCACAGCUCCGCGGAGUGCGGGCUAGUGGCCGAAAGAGCUGCGAGGCCAGGGUCUUCCAUUUGCCGGUGUGAACUCGGGUGCCCCGGUCCCUUGAGGCCAUCCCUGACUCUUCGCGCUGGGAGAACCGAAUUUCGCAGAGCUCAUCACUGAGGAGACUUUGCCGGGAAUUAAGUCCUUCCUUCUGUUACUCAGUAGUCGAUUGAGGGUAAGAACAAAAAAUCACAUUGUGCCCUGACUAGAUACGUUACUGUUGCUAAAAUCGUCAACUAUAAUGUUCUGUGGAUGAUGUACUUCCUGGAAACCUAGAAAUUUCAGAUUUGAAGGUAAGAGUCUACCUGGGGAAUUUUUUUAACUUUUGUGAUCGAACCCUGAAAGAUUUUAAUCUUACUACAACUAUUAUAACUCAUAUUAGCCCGCCCCUCCCCAAAAUAAUCCGUUAACGAUAUUUACAGACUUUUUCAAAUGAUUAAGUGUUGUUUUAACGUUUAGUUAGUACCCUAAGUGUUCGAUGUUUUGUAAACAUAUGCUUUGCUUUCUAGCUUAGGAAAUAAGGAAUUUGGGAAGAUGGUUCACAUUGCAACUAAAAAGAGGAGUAGGAUUUUUAUUUAACCCUUAAGAUCUUACAUAGAUCAAAAAGUCAAAAGGAAUAGAUGUAAAAAUAAAAGUAGACAAAUCAAGAGAUGACCAGUGGGGGUAUAUUUUGAGUCCUAAAGAGGCCCUAAGUUGCCUAUAACUUUACGGACAACAGUUAAAAAUAACUUUGAAGGAUUACCAAUUCUUGCGACCUCAUGAAGUUAGAAUUAUUUUGGUUUUCCUUUUUUGUUAUUUGCUUUUGUUUUAGACUCUUUUGGAGUCAAAUUUUAGUAUUGAUUUAUAGAACUUUUUUAGGUGCCUAAACUUUUUAAAGUAAUGAAGGUAUUUACUUUUUUAAAUACAUAAUGAAAGCAAAUGAAAAUUGUUAUUGGAAUUGACUAGCAGCAGAUACCUCCUUGUAAAGUAACCCUGGUGGAAGAGUGAAUGGGGCUGGAAAUCAUCUGCUACCAACUAGCCUUGAGACCUCAGUCAGAGGGUUUCAUCUGUCAGAACCUCUGUCUUACUUGCUGAGUGAAUAAAUAUGAUUACGUGAUCACUAAGGUCUCCUCUGGCUCUAAACUUAUAGUGUAUCCAAGAAGCUUUUCAAAAUCUCACCAAAACUAUUACAGUUAAAAUAUCUUAAUUGUUGACCCUCUAGAUACAGAAAAGUGUUUCAAAUAAUUAGCAUAGUGGCCUGGUAACUUACUUGCCCUGUUUAUUUUCUCAUCUCCCGCACAGAAGUCUGGAAAAUCUGACUUUGUAAGGACCCAGAUAAAGUGUACUCUCACCUGGGUGAAUUUCUUAUUCCUAAUACUAUAUUCUUUUAUACUGUUAUAUACUUUUACCAGGCCUGACCCUAAAUUUGCAGAGCCUAGGCAAGAGUAUGACUGUAAGAGCUCAAAUACCAUAUGUCUAAAUAUUUAAGAUACAAAUCAAGAUAACAAACUAUUAUAAAAAAUAUAUUCUACUCUACUACCUUGAUAAAUCUACUUAAAUAAUGAUCUGGAAGAUCAUGUUUAUUUUUUGUUUGUUUUCUUUCUCUUAGGCCAUGUUUAAAUUUAGAGCUUUCUGACUUCUAGAGUCCUCAGACUAUACCAGUUCUCUUCCCAUCCCACCUUCUUCACCCACCACACCAGAAGGGACCAUGAAUGCAAGCACCCAAAUUGUCCCAUCUUACGUUUACACCCUCAGCUCCUGCACAUAGUGAUGUGUAGUUGGCAGCUCUCUCCACCCUUAGAUCUAACCAAUCUAAAUGAGAAUGCAGGCUCCAGACAGUCAUGGCCACUUGACCUCAUGGACUCCUUGCCUUUCGCAGCUGGAGAAGGAUCCUUACCAGAUCUAAGGGCAAUACUGUUAUAAAACAUGAUCAAUUGUCUGUUUUCUCUCCCCUAUAGUCAGGCAUUCCAUUACAACUAGAACAUUCCUAACAACAUUGGAAUAGAGAAUUCCCACCACCAUCCCCAAUUCCUGUUGGCUUAAUCUCUGCUCACACUGAAACCAUCCACUUGUCUCCAUGGGCCUUGCUGGCACCCUCUUUCAAGUACUAGCCCCUCUCUCUUGGAUGACUACACUAAUCUUUAUUCUGGUUUCCCUAUAUUCUAGUUUUUUCAAAUCUGUUCUCCAUUUAUUCCACCAUAAUGCUCUUUUCAAAACCUAAAUCUGACCAUGUCACUUUCCUUGCUUCAGACCUAUCGAUGGCUUCCAUUGCUCUUAGGAUAAAGAACAAAAUCCUUAAUAUGACUUACAAGACCCAGCAGAAUAGCUCUACCUAUAUAUAGAUCUGAACAGGUGAAAGAACACCAAGUUUAUAGCAUGAGAUUUU
Manis pentadactyla (Chinese pangolin) is the source of this 2588-nucleotide long non-coding RNA. RefSeq lists it as uncharacterized. The transcript is spliced from 3 exons. NCBI's taxonomy places the organism in Eukaryota, Metazoa, Chordata, Mammalia, Pholidota, Manidae. The record is from RefSeq and is a predicted model, not a curated record.